ACGUGCCUACGGGGGGCAGCAGUGAGGAAUAUUGGUCAAUGGGCGCGAGCCUGAACCAGCCACGUCGCGUGAGGGAUGACGGUCCUACGGAUUGUAAACCUCUUUUGCCGGGGAGCAAGCGUGCGUUCGUGAACGCACGUCGAGGGUACCCGGAGAAAAAGCAUCGGCUAACUCCGUGCCAGCAGCCGCGGUAAUACGGAGGAUGCGCGCCUUAUCCGGCUUCAUUGGGUUCAAAGGGUGCGUAGGCGGGAUGCCAAGUCAGCGGUAAAAAUGCGGUGCUCAACGCCGUCGAGCCGUUGAAACUG
This 305-nucleotide ribosomal RNA is filed under the name uncultured bacterium. RNAcentral's name for it is "bacterial SSU rRNA". It matches the Rfam family "Bacterial small subunit ribosomal RNA", at positions 333 to 635 of the family's 1533-position model. The record is from RNAcentral.